RNAcentral lists this ribosomal RNA (440 nucleotides) under uncultured bacterium. RNAcentral describes it as "partial 16S ribosomal RNA". It matches the Rfam family "Bacterial small subunit ribosomal RNA", at positions 338 to 795 of the family's 1533-position model. The record is from RNAcentral.
CCUACGGGGGGCAGCAGUGGGGAAUAUUGCACAAUGGGGGAAACCCUGAUGCAGCGACGCCGCGUGAGUGAAGAAGUAUUUCGGUACGUAAAGCUCUAUCAGCAGGGAAGAAAAUGACGGUACCUGACUAAGAAGCCCCGGCUAACUACGUGCCAGCAGCCGCGGUAAUACGUAGGGGGCAAGCGUUAUCCGGAUUUACGGGGUGUAAAGGGAGCGUAGACGGCAGCGCAAGUCUGGAGUGAAAUCCCAUGGCUUAACCAUGGAACUGCUUUGGAAACUGUGCAGCUAGAGUGCAGGAGAGGUAAGCGGAAUUCCUAGUGUAGCGGUGAAAUGCGUAGAUAUUAGGAGGAACACCAGUGGCGAAGGCGGCUUACUGGACUGUAACUGACGUUGAGGCUCGAAAGCGUGGGGAGCAAACAGGAUUAGAUACCCCAGUAGUC